GACGAACGCUGGCGGCGCGCCUAACACAUGCAGGUCGAACGGAGUCAAGAGGAGCUUGCUUUUCUUGACUUAGUGGCGAACGGGUGAGUAACGCGUGAGUAACCUGCCCUGGAGUGGGGGACAACAGUUGGAAACGACUGCUAAUACCGCAUAAGCCCACGGAUCCGCAUGGAUCUGCGGGAAAAGGAUUUAUUCGCUUCAGGAUGGACUCGCGUCCAAUUAGCUAGUUGGUGAGGUAACGGCCCACCAAGGCGACGAUUGGUAGCCGGACUGAGAGGUUGAACGGCCACAUUGGGACUGAGACACGGCCCAGACUCCUACGGGAGGCAGCAGUGGGGGAUAUUGCACAAUGGGGGAAACCCUGAUGCAGCGACGCCGCGUGGAGGAAGAAGGUUUUCGGAUUGUAAACUCCUGUCGUUAGGGACGAUAAUGACGGUACCUAACAAGAAAGCACCGGCUAACUACGUG
This 468-nucleotide ribosomal RNA is filed under the name uncultured bacterium. Its description in RNAcentral is "partial 16S ribosomal RNA". It matches the Rfam family "Bacterial small subunit ribosomal RNA", at positions 28 to 507 of the family's 1533-position model. The record is from RNAcentral.